Long non-coding RNA from Entelurus aequoreus (snake pipefish), 481 nucleotides. RefSeq lists it as uncharacterized. The record is from RefSeq and is a predicted model, not a curated record. The transcript has 3 exons. Lineage: Eukaryota; Metazoa; Chordata; Actinopteri; Syngnathiformes; Syngnathidae.
CAGAAGAUCAUGAAGCGCCUCAUCAAGAGACACGUCCUCAAAGCACAGCAAGAUAGAGAAAACCACCAAGGGAGUGAAGGUGAGCUGAAGGAGAUCAAGCAGGACAUCUCCAGUCUUGGCCAGGAGCUGCUGGAGGCCAGCAAGCAGGAAGUGAGCGCCCUGGCGGAGGUCAUCAGCCACCUGGGCGAGGUGUGACCAGGGACACUUCAUUAGACAGAACAAGAAGAAGUCAGGAGCAGCAAAACACAACAAAACAAAGUUUUUAUCUUCUCUUCUUUUGAUUUGCAGGCACUGACAUGUGUGUAUUUACUCCUGAUAUUUUAUUUGUAUGUGUGUAUUUACUCCUGAUAUUUUAUUUGUAUGUGUGUAUUUACUCCUGAUAUUUAAUUUGUAUGUGUGUAUUUACUCCCGAUAUUUUAUUUGUAUGUGUGUAUUUACUCCUGAUAUUUAAUUUGUAUGUGUGUAUUUACUCCUGAUAUUU